UAUAUAUUUUGCUCAAUGAUUUAACGUUUUUUUUCUAUAAUAGCUAAGGUUAAGCUAGGAGAUAAGUGAAAAUUCAUCAUCUAAGCAGGUUAGAGGUAUUGAAUCACUUGUUUACUCACAAGACACAUAACACCUAACUAUGAAGAAAAUUGUAUUUAUAAUUGUGGCCGUUAUUACUUCGGCGGUAGUAUCUUAUCCCGUUUUAAAUGAUCCCAAACCAAACACAGACGGGUAUACAACAACUAUACAUCAAUCAGAAAUUAAGAUAAAACCGAGAGCGAAUGGUUAUCCUUUGUUUUUUAAUCAAAUGGACGAUAAAGCAAAGGAACCUUCGAAGACGAACUCUGGAGGCCAUCUAUUCUCACAAGUCACAAAUAAAGCCACAGAUUUAGCCGAAACUACAAGAUCUGUCUUUGAGAAGGAACCAAUCACAAACAUAAAGAGGCUUUCUCCUAUUCGAUUGAAAUUCUAUCCGAAACCGCAAGGAAAUGAAGAAGCACGAAAACGUCCUAAAGAAUUAACGAUUUCCUUGCCCCGCUUCAAAACCGACAGAAAGGGAAAAUGGGUGUAUAACCCCUGGGGUGUCACCUACGCCGAUGUGUGGAGGCUGACUAUGCCAGAUAUAAGAGAUUAUAAUUAUGAUUUCAGAGCCAAAAACGUAUAUAAAACUAAAUUCCCAUUCGAUGAAGUGUGCUUUGGUAGAUCGACAGUGUAUAACAUUCCACCAGUAACGGCGUGGCUUUCUAAAAGGCUUAAAAAUUUGUCUGGAAGUGGUAAUUUGAAUGCUAAACCACUCCAUGUAGAUCUCAGACUGGAAAUAUACCUUCAAGGCAAAUCGGAGGCCUGCCACACAAAUCAGUAUGUGGAAUAUCGGCCGUACCUCGAAUGUGCCAUUUUGCGGCAUAUGAGGAUGGAGUAUUUGAUGCCAAUGUAUCCAAUGAUUCAAAUCGGAAAUAUAUGGAUGUAUAAUACAGUUUUGGGCUGAGACAUCUGAAGUAGGUCAGCGGUGUUGAAACACUUGUUAACCAACUAUGAAGAAUAUUGUAUUUAUAAUUGUGGCGGUAGGUUUAUUUGAACUAUACAUUAAAAAUAUUCUUAUUCGGCACGUGGAUCAAUACAAAUAAACAAUAUAAACACGUGCCGGGUAAAAAUAUUUUUAAUGUGUAAUUUUUUAUAAAUAUAUUGAAUUUAUAUUUAUGUAUUUAUUCUAGAGCAAAUGAAAUAUAUUAUUAAUAUUAAGAAAUAUACUUAAGAGAUGAUUGAAAACACAUCAUCUAAGCAGGUCAGAGGUAUUGAAUCACUUGUUAACUCAGUCACACACAAUACACAUAAUACCCAAUUAUGAAGAACAUUGUAAUUAUAUUUGUGGCCGUAGGUUUAUUUUAAUUAAAUAAAGGAAAAUAUUUUUAAUGACUUUAUAACUAGGUCAUUACUUCGGCAGUAGUAUCUUAUCCCGUUUUAAAUGAUCCUAAACCAAACACAGACGAGUAUUUAACAACUAUACACCAUUCAGAAAUUGAGAUAAAACCGACGCCGAAUUUUUAUCCUUUGUUUUUUAAUCAAAUCGACGAUAAAGCAAAGGAACCUUCGGGGACAAACUCUGGAAGUCAUCUAUUUUCCAACAGUUUUGGCAAAGUCACAAAUAAAGCCACAGAUAUAGCCGAAACUACAAGAUCUAUCUUUGAGAAGGAACCUAUUACAAGCAUAAAGAGGCUUUUUCCUAUUCGAUUGAAAUUCUAUCCGAAACCGCAAGAAAAUGAAGAAAAACCUUCUAAAAAACCUGCUAAAGAAUUAACGAUUUCCUUGCCCCGCUUCAAAACCGACAGUAAGGGAAAAUGGGUGUAUAACCCUUGGGGUGUCACCUACGCCGAUGUGUGGAGGCUGACUAUGCCAGAUAUAAGAGAUUUUAACUAUGAUUUCAGAGCCAAAAAAGUAUAUAAAACUAAAUUCCCAUUCGAUGAAGUGUGCUUUGGUAGAUCAACAGUGUAUAACAUUCCACCAGUAACGGCGUGGCUUUCUAAAAGGCUUAAAAAUUUGUCUGGAAGUGGUAAUUUGAAUGCUAAACCACUCCAUGUAGAUCUCAGACUGGAAAUAUACCUUCAAGGCAAAUCGGAGGCCUGCCACACAAAUCAGUAUGUGGAAUAUCGGCCGUACCUCGAAUGUGCCAUUUUGCGGGAUAUGAGGAUGGAGUAUUUGUUGCCAAUGUAUCCAAUGAUUCAGGUCGGAAAUAUAUGGAUGUAUAAUAUAGUUUUUACCUGAGAUAUCUGAAGUAGCUCAGAGGUAUUGAAACAUUUGUUAACCAACUAUGAAGAAUAUUGUAUUUAUAAUUGUGGCGAUAGGUUUAUUUAAACUAUACAUUAAAAAUAUUCUUAUUCGGCACGUGGAUCAAUAAAAAUAAACAAUAUAAAUACGUGCCGGGUAAAAAUAUUUUUUAUGUGUAAUUUUUUAUAAAUAUAUUGCAUUUUUAUUUAUGUAUCUAUUCUAGAGAAAAAUAAAUAUAUAAUUAAUAUCAAAAAAUAUACUUAAGGGAUAAUUGAAAACACAUCGUCUAAGCAGGUCAGAAGUAUUGAAUCACUUGUUAACUCAGUCACACACAAUACACAUAAUACCCAAUUAUGAAGAACAUUGUAAUUAUGUUUGUGGCCGUAGGUUUAUUUGAAUUAAAUAAAGGAAAAUAUUAU
RNA transcript from Drosophila ananassae, 2681 nucleotides. RefSeq lists it as uncharacterized. The record is from RefSeq and is a predicted model, not a curated record. The transcript is spliced from 4 exons. NCBI's taxonomy places the organism in Eukaryota, Metazoa, Arthropoda, Insecta, Diptera, Drosophilidae.